Molecule: long non-coding RNA, 2642 nt
Organism: Harpia harpyja (harpy eagle)
Lineage: Eukaryota; Metazoa; Chordata; Aves; Accipitriformes; Accipitridae
Exons: 4
Source: RefSeq, a predicted model, not a curated record
CUUGGCUGGAGUCAGGACUAACAAGUCGUCUUCUCGCUUUCUCUCUCCUUUCGCCGGUCCACGAAGCGAUCCAUCAUUUAUUUCCAGAUCACCUGUACCAGCAUGCUUUUGCUCGGGGUUGCAUUAGCACAAUCACCAGUAAUUACAAGCGUGUGUACACUGGGAGAAUGAAGAUGGGGAAGGUGGGAGGUAGGACGUGAUUCCCCUUCGGAGCAAUCAGGACUGGGAAAGGUUUCAUUCCAUGCAAACGAUGAUGACAGAAGGAAAAAAACGAAGAAGUGGAAACGGGCAAGUACAUCACGCUGGCUGGUGGGAGAGGGGCAGAAGGGUGCUUUCACCCUUAAACUACUGUGAGAAUUGGUGAGCACGAUCCGUGGGACAUGCUUUCAGAGGUGCAGGGGACACAGAGCCCUUCCUUGUAUUAAGGCAGACAACAUUAGAACUUGUGUCUCCUGAAGUUCAGUCUGAAUUGUCACCACAAGACCACCGUCUUGACACUAACCUGUUCCAUUUUGCUCUACCCUAAAGGACCAUCCAGAAGUGAAAGUCACAUAAGGAUGUUUGGCACCAUUUACUAACUACACCGUUAAAAUAGCGGUUUAAGUAACUUUGUGCUCUCUGAAUUUGCUUUCACAUGCAAUCCCAGAUAUUCUCAAUAACUUGUAAAUCCUCGUGUUUUGGAGCCUCCCUUUGUCUUGCUCUGUUUGCUAGGCAGUACACACUCCAGCAGCCAAAGUUGUACGGCAAGUGUGGUCUGAAUGGCAGAACAGAAGGUUCUCUGCAGAGGACACCCAGCUGUGAACAUUUCAAAAGUUUUUUUCAUCAGAACCUCUGUGUGUUGAUUUCUUUCUCUUUUCCUUGAGUAUACGUAGAGCAGAAAUAUGCAACUGGUUUUCAGUGACACACUGUUCAGGCUGUGAUAUAUGAAAUUUUAAAAGAGUUAACAGCAGUUCACUUGUAAGAGCAAGCCAUGAGAGCUCUUACACAUGUUAGUACAGAGGGUCAGCAUAAGACUUCAUGGCAACGGGAGAGAGAAAAAUGUGGUUCUUUAUAGGACCCAGCUACAGUCACCGUGACUGAAAUACCUGUCCUAUGUGGAGGACAUGUAUCAAUGUCCUCAAUGAGGACAGUAACGAUGCACCAUAGCAUGGAACCAAAAGCACAUGAGCAAAGUUGCAAAGGAUACAAAAUUUCUCUUUCAGAGGAAAUAUCAGGAUUUCAAGAUUUAUUUUACUUCUGAAGCAGAAAAAAAUCAAAUCACUUUAAGUGACAUUUUCAAAACAAUUUCAUUUUAAGCCCCAGUCUUUAAUCUCAAUUUAAAAUAUAACACAAUCUGAAAGAGUAAUUUCAAAAUGAAAAAUGGAGUCAGUGUUCUGAAAAGGUUAAUGCCGAGUAUUUUAACCUUACUGAAGGAGCUGUAAUUGUUUUUCAGAUUUUGUUGAAGUUGACACUUCCGUAGAAGAGCUUUGUUUUCAAUCAAACAGCAGUUUUCCAUUGAAAAAACAUUCGUUUGGAAAAGUUCCACUCAAGCUAGCUGAAGCAUGGGAGGUUUGUAGAUAAGGAGAAUAUAAUUAGCUACAAUAGAAAUUUUGUCAGAAGGCUGAGGCUAAGAGCUCUCACACACCGGAUAAAUACCACCGCGCUCCUGAAAAGAGGGCAAGCGACUAGGGCUGUUAUUUUGCUUUUCUUCGGCAAGGUUGCUGCUACUGUACUACAUCAGUGUCCUCCCUGCCUAAUCACAGUUGUUCAACACUGACACAGUGGGGAUGAGGAAAGACGACUGCUUAUCGAGGACCUGUUUUGGGGAGAGGAUUUGAUCACAUGCUCCGCUUUUGGUGCGUUGGCGGUUACACUGAGGUCCGUGGGACAGCUCUUGAGCAGGAGCUGGGAGACAGCAGUGGCACUGCUGAACUGCCCGUGUUCUGUUCUCUCGGACAUCUCCUUCCCAAGAUGGGAUCUCACAAGAUCACGUUGAGGAUGGUGGGAUUACAAACCAUCGAUUUCUGCAGUAACAGGCUUUCUUUUUCUGCUGACAAACAAAAGACGAAAUGAAAAACAUAUCUACUAGAAAUAUCACACAAAUGUAAAUGAAAAAACAUUUGCUCCCAGUUUUGAAGAUAUUAUUAUUCAGGAUUUUCAUCCUUUUUCCAGUAGGUGACAGGAAGGGUUGAUAUGCAGCUGUGCAGUGUAUUUUGCUAAGGCAGGAAUCACUGCGUUAAGGCAAACUUCUUCAUCUUGUUGAUUUUACAAGGGCACACACUCAUUCUUGGAAUGUGAGAAUGAUCUUCCUUCACAAUAAAGUAAUACAUGCCAAGAAGCACCAGAACGAAGCUGGGGUGGAAGGCAAAUAAUUUCCUCUGCUAAGAGAAGCAGCAUAGUGGAGACUAAUUGGCCCAAAUAUUACUGCUCAAUUUCUCACUCAAACUCAUUUAGCUAACAAGGGUCAAAGCCCGUUUUCAUAUUGAAAGGGUAGGAUGACUUUUUAUUAAGGCAAGUAUGGCUGUACUGGUUUUAUCAUUGUUUCUAUCAAAACAAAAUCACGCUGAAGAUUACUGUGUUCCAAUUAGCAUCACACUUUGCAAGGAAAGCUUCCAACCAUUGUAAGAAAAUUGUGUUUCUGUAUUAAACUAGCUGUCUGUGGA